RNAcentral lists this ribosomal RNA (1203 nucleotides) under metagenome. RNAcentral describes it as "bacterial SSU rRNA". It matches the Rfam family "Bacterial small subunit ribosomal RNA", at positions 95 to 1277 of the family's 1533-position model. The record is from RNAcentral.
GUGGCGUAAGGGUGAGUAACGCGUGGGCAAUCUACCUCUAAGUUGGGGAUAACUCGCCGAAAGGUGAGCUAACACCGAAUGUGGUCCGCUCUCAUAAGAGGGACGGAUUAAAGACGGGGAUCCUUCGGGACCUGUCGCUUGGAGAGGAGCCUGCGUGCCAUCAGCUAGUUGGUGAGGUAACGGCUCACCAAGGCUUACGGCUAGCUGGUCUGAGAGGAUGACCAGCCACACUGGGACUGAGACACUGCCCAGACUCCUACGGGAGGCUGCAGUCGAGGAUCUUGGACAAUGGGGGCAACCCUGAUCCAGCGACGCUGCGUGGAGGAUGAAGGCCUUCGGGUUGUAAACUCCUGUCAUUCGGGAAAAACGGCUCCGGGAUUAAUACUCCCGGGGAGUGAUGGUACCGGAAGAGGAAGCCACGGCUAACUCCGUGCCAGCAGCCGCGGUAAUACAGAGGUGGCAAGCGUUGUUCGGAUUUACUGGGCGUAAAGGGUGCGUAGGUGGUCUCCUAUGUCGAGUGUGAAAUCCCAAGGCUCAACCUUGGAAUUGCGCUCGAAACUGGGAGACUUGAGUGCAGGAGGGGAGAGCGGAAUUCUUGGUGUAGCGGUGAAAUGCGUUGAUAUCAAGAAGAACACCGGUGGCGAAGGCGGCUCUCUGGAAUGCUACUGACACUGAGGCACGAAAGCUGGGGGAGCAAACAGGAUUAGAUACCCUGGUAGUCCCAGCUGUAAACGGUGCACACUUGGUGUGGGAGGAAUUGACCCCUUCCGUGCCGGAGCUAACGCGUUAAGUGUGCCGCCUGGGGAGUACGGUCGCAAGACUAAAACUCAAAGAAAUUGACGGGGGCCCGCACAAGCGGAGGAGCAUGUGGCUCAAUUCGAUGCAACGCGAAGAACCUUACCAGGGCUUGACAUGCAGCUGCACGUCCCGUGAAAGCGGGAUUCCUUCGAGGGUGCUGCACAGGUGCUGCAUGGCUGUCGUCAGUUCGUGCCGUGAGGUGUUGGGUUAAGUCCCGCAACGAACGCAACCCCUGUGUUUAGUUGCUACCAGGUAAAGCUGGGCACUCUAAACAGACUGCCUGUACAAAACAGGAGGAAGGUGGGGACGACGUCAAGUCAGUAUGGCCCUUACGCCCUGGGCUGCACACGUGCUACAAUGGCCGGUACAAAGGGAAGCAAGACCGCGAGGUGGAGCAAAACCUGU